This 371-nucleotide ribosomal RNA is filed under the name uncultured organism. RNAcentral describes it as "partial 16S ribosomal RNA". It matches the Rfam family "Bacterial small subunit ribosomal RNA", at positions 528 to 896 of the family's 1533-position model. The record is from RNAcentral.
GUAGUGGCAAGUGUUAUCCGGAAUUAUUGGGCGUAAAGCGCGCGCAGGUGGUUCUUUAAGUCUGAUGUGAAAGCCCCCGGGCUCAACCGGGGAGGGUCAUUGGAAACUGGGGAACUUGAGUGCAGGAGAGGAAAGUGGAAUUCCACGUGUAGCGGUGAAAUGCGUAGAUAUGUGGAGGAACACCAGUGGCGAAGGCGACUUUCUGGCCUGUAACUGACACUGAGGCGCGAAUGCGUGGGGAGCAAACAGGAUUAGAUACCCUGGUAGUCCACGCCGUAAACGAUGAGUGCUAAGUGUUGGGGGGUUUCCGCCCCUCAGUGCUGCAGCUAACGCAUUAAGCACUCCGCCUGGGGAGUACGGUCGCAAGACUG